UAAGGAACAAGUGAAAUAAGUAAACAAGACCAUUUUUCAGAGAGCCCUACGAGGAAAACAGCGUGUCCCGUCCCGGGGACGAACCUCUCUGCGAAGGCAACAAGUGGCCACAGGAGGGUUCGAGUGGGCAGGUGGCGUGAUCUGAGUGCAUGUUUAAAGGAUAACUCAGGCCACUUCGUGGAGAGAGCUGGCGGGUUCAGGGAGGCCAGUCAGAGGCUGUCGCAGUGGCCCAGUGGCUUUUAAUAUUUAAACAGACAGUCUGGGGGCUGCCUUUUGUAUUCUUGUCCUGGGUCCCACGGAAGCGAGGGGCGAGCCUGCCACCUCCACUGCUUGCUUGCUGCAUGUUCCCCAAAUGCUGGAUGGGGAGUCUGGGGCCCCAUCAUUUAUCAAAGGAGUGUCCCACCAAAAUAGAAUAGAAGGCUUUUCCCAAUUUGC
Long non-coding RNA from Lemur catta (Ring-tailed lemur), 435 nucleotides. RefSeq lists it as uncharacterized. The transcript has 3 exons. NCBI's taxonomy places the organism in Eukaryota, Metazoa, Chordata, Mammalia, Primates, Lemuridae. The record is from RefSeq and is a predicted model, not a curated record.